AUCCGGCUGAAGAGUCCCAAAUAGGACGAAACGCGUGUCUCUGAU
Schistosoma mansoni is the source of this 45-nucleotide non-coding RNA. NCBI's taxonomy places the organism in Eukaryota, Metazoa, Platyhelminthes, Trematoda, Strigeidida, Schistosomatidae. The record is from Rfam.